GUGCUCGCUGUGGCAACACAUAUGCUAAGAUUGGAACGAUACAGAGAAGAUCAGCAUGGCCCCCGCACAAGGAUGACACGCAAAUUCGUGAAGCGUUCCAUAAUUUU
This 107-nucleotide small nuclear RNA is filed under the name Nannospalax galili (Upper Galilee mountains blind mole rat). The record is from RNAcentral. Lineage: Eukaryota; Metazoa; Chordata; Mammalia; Rodentia; Spalacidae.